Dicentrarchus labrax (European seabass) is the source of this 2827-nucleotide long non-coding RNA. RefSeq lists it as uncharacterized. The transcript is spliced from 2 exons. The record is from RefSeq and is a predicted model, not a curated record. NCBI's taxonomy places the organism in Eukaryota, Metazoa, Chordata, Actinopteri, Moronidae.
UCUCUGCAGACUCGCAGGCGGCACUGAGACGGGAAGAAGCAUUUCUUCUGAAUUUAUUUCCCUCCUAACAUUUUCCACAUGUCACACAGAUAAACUUGUAAAGCUGUGAAUAAUUACUGAAACUGUGAGCACAGUCAACUACUCCUGUCAUGGAUUGUACCGCCUAUCUCGGCCGCUGCCUGCUGUUUUUCAUCAUCGCCAUCCUCCUGGAUGCAGCAGGCCUCAUCCUCUUCUUCAUUGGGGUCUUUGCUCCUCUCAGCUUCUGGGAUGUCUUUGUCUUCUCCGGAUCCCUCAUUAUCUUCCUCAGCCUGGUGUUCUGGAUCUUCUGGUACCUGGGAAACCUGGAGUUGCCGAUGGAGGAGCUGCUCCCCAAAUGAGAUUUAUGGCUUCUUCAUUUGCAGCACAAAACAGUUGUCUGGCAACUGGUGCUGGAAAAUGAAUCCCAAGCUACAGCAACAGGGUGAAAAGGUUCCACCCCAUCUCACUGGUAGCUGUUUGUAUAUUUGCCUCACCACCCAAAGAAACAUGGGACUUUACUCUCAAAGGACAAAUAUGGAACUCUAACCUGAAAGGUGACACCUCAGACUCAGGGACAGGUUGAGAAACUUUUGAAUGGUGGGUCUAGACUGUUGGACAUUUGUGAAACUAGUAAAAGUUUCACAUUGGUUUAACAACAAACUGUACAUUAAUAAUAGUUACACUGUUCUUUCAUUAUUCAGUGCAAUAAAUGAAUGCCAAAUAAACAACUUUAAAUAACAAGAAAUAGCUGCCAUUUCUAAGUUGCCACAGCCUUUUUAUGGUCAUGUUGUACCUCUUUGUAGUUGUUUUGAAUCUCUUUGUAGACUAGAGCUUCUCCUUGUAGUUGUUAAUGUUAAUGUUUUUGUCAUUUUUGUAGCCUCACACAUCUUUUUUUUUAUGUGUCUCUUUGUAGUUGUUAUGUCUGUUUUUAGUUGUUUUGUGUUUCUUUGUAGUCAUAGUACAUUUAUUUGAAGUCGUUUGGAAUCUCUUUGUAGUCUAGAGCAUCUCUUUUUGCUGUUAUGUGUCUCUUUGUAGGUUUUUACUUCUUUGUAGUCAUGUGAUUGACUGUCCAACAAGAAAGGGGUUGGUUGAUCAGAUUAGAGGGAGGCAACCAUUACAUCCCUAUUGCCUCACCUCUGCUCAGACUGUACGCUGUAAAUUCUGUGUUUAAUAGCAUACAUUUUGUUUAUUUCAUUUCAGAUCAUGUGGAUUUUGGACAUUCUUAUGAUGUCUCACUCUAACCUUAAAAUCAGGACCAAAAACUCUGUCCUCCAGUUGCACAACUUCCUCUCUUUUUUGAUGACACCAUUUAUCAUCUAUUUACACCCUUUCUUUUUUAUCAAUUUCUUCCUAAGGCCAUUGUUCCUGACCGGUCUCUGUGGUGAUUUUCCUGUUGUGAAAUCUGAGUAUUGGUCAUUCAAUCCAUUCAACAGAAACCAGUCAAACUGGGUCCAUUAGCUGGGGCAGGAAGAGCUCUCAUUUUACAAGAAUGAGUUUCUGUACAAGGAGGAGGGGGGAUUUUCUUUCCCCUGUUUAUAAAAUAUUAUAAUGACAAAAAAAUAUGGUGGAAAUGAGCUUUUGGAAGCUAUUUGCACAGAUUUGUGAUGUGUACUCUUGUAUAAUCUUUUUCCUCAAGUAUGUGGCACAACUUGUUUCUCUGUUACUUAGACACACCCUAUUUACAGUGGGGCUGAUAUUUAAGCUCAACACAAGACAGAAUAAUCCUCAGGCUUAGCAACAGUAGCCACAAGAAUAGAGCUUCAACAACAAGACAAACAAAGAGACAAAGGAGAAAACAAAGGAUUCUAACCAUUUUCUAAAGAAAGUUACACUUGUAAUUGUUUAUUGUCUUUACAUAUACACGUGAUUUAUUUGAUAUGAUAUGUUUGAUUUAAGAGAAUAAUAGAGAUUUCAAAAAGUAGUUACUGUUAAUUGCAUUUUAAAACUCUUUGCAUAACCCAUGUUUACUCUUCACAGCCUCUUUCUAAAAGCUGCAGUGUUUUUCAAGGUGUGGGCCCACGCAGCUAUUUAGCCUUGCACAAGGGGAAUAUAAGGGAAAAUGUGUCAGCCAACCAUUACUAAUUCAUAACUGCACCCUAACGGCUCAAACAGCUCCAUAAGAAUUACUUUGAGCUGGUCGACAGGUGAUUCUUAUGUGUCACAAUCCCUCCGUCUCUGGGGCUUCAGGUUCCACCUCACACCUAACGUGUCUUUCUAUUAGCUAUUGCCAGCCUGCUUUACAGUGCAUGGCCAGCGUGCACAUGCAAACACACUCCUACACCUGCUCUGGAUCACUGGAACAUGACACUGUUUGACUCAGUGCUGUGGUGACAAAGGGCACAGGGAUUAAGUUCUGCAGGGCCUGUCAGUGUAGUGUUUGGUUGUUGUGGCUCCAGCCAGCACAUCACACCGUAGCAGCAGCAGCGUGCUGGCAUUUGAUGUGAUGGAGUCCAGUGUUAGAGGAAGUUAAAUCUUUUGCAUAAAACCUUUAAUCUAAAACAUACCUAGUAACUAUAGCUGUGAGAUAAAUGUAGUGGAGUAAAAAGUACAAUAUUUCCCUCUGACAGUAGUGGAAAGUAUUCAUGUACUGUAGUACAAUUUUUAGGGGCCUUUUUGCUACUUUAUGCCUCUGCUCCACUACAUCUCAGUGCUAAAUAUUGUACUUCACUACAUCUACUUGACAGCUGUAGCUUAAUUACUUUUCAGAUUAAGAUUUUACAUUUAAAACAAUUAUAAGCUUAUGAAAUAUAAGGCAUUGUUAUAGCAGUGGUUCCCAAAUCCCUUACAAUAAAGCACUUUGGGGUCUGUU